UACGAAGGGUGCAACCGUUGCUCGGAAUCAUUGGGCGUAAAGCGCACGUAGGCGGCCUCAUAAGUCGGAUGUGAAAUCCCUCGGCUCAACCGAGGACGUGCAUACGAAACUGCGAGGCUCGAGUAUGGAAGAGGGUCGCGGAAUUCCCGGUGUAGAGGUGAAAUUCGUAGAUAUCGGGAGGAACACCAGUGGCGAAGGCGGCGACCUGGGCCAAUACUGACGCUGAGGUGCGAAAGCGUGGGGAGCAAACAGG
This 253-nucleotide ribosomal RNA is filed under the name uncultured bacterium. Its description in RNAcentral is "partial 16S ribosomal RNA". It matches the Rfam family "Bacterial small subunit ribosomal RNA", at positions 524 to 776 of the family's 1533-position model. The record is from RNAcentral.